Molecule: long non-coding RNA, 816 nt
Organism: Mauremys reevesii (Reeves's turtle)
Lineage: Eukaryota; Metazoa; Chordata; Testudines; Geoemydidae
Exons: 2
Source: RefSeq, a predicted model, not a curated record
CUUUGGUUUCCCUGUUCUUCUGUAAUCAGAGCAGCUGACUGUAGGCAGCGCCUGUUUGGUAGCUACCAGAGGCCCCCAGUCUGAACCCUUCACCAGAUGGUUGUCUGUGUUACUUUCGCUUUUUUUUUUUGUAAGGAGAAUAAACAGAGCCCCGAGGAAAGCAGGGUGUGGCCAUUUAUCCCCAUCUGAUAAUCAGGACCCACCAGCCUAUAUGUAGUUAACAAUGCAGGCACAGCUUGCCAUUGCUCAGAGAGAAGCAUGGCUCCUGAAGCUCUCGUGAAAUGGAUGGGACAGCAACAGCAACUGCAGCAGAUCCUGCCAUAGCAGCAACAGCAACCUCAGCAGCUACAAAUACAGCAGCACCUGUUCCAACAGAAACAGCAGUAAUUCAGGCUUCAGCUACUAGCUUGGGAUGUCCAGGACCACAGGAAGUGUCUCCCUGAAGUGUCAGUUAAUGCAACAAAGACACUUUUAGCCUCAGUUAAAAGGCGAUGUAUCCUGGCAUAAUUUUCAGAGGACACAGGCCCUUUCAAUCCCGUUCCGUAAUAGCUUCUUCCGUGAAAAAUGUCAAACAGAUAGCUCAUCAAGCGCACAAAUUUGAUGGUCCCACCACAGUUCUGAAAAGAAGGCAGGCCCAACAAUUGGAGACAUUCCAGUGUGCCAGCGACACUCUCACUGAACAGCUGUGCUGCAUAGUUCACUCUCAAGUGACAGCUUUCACUAUUUCCGGGUCUUCCUGACAAUCUGUCACUAAUAUGCAGUAAUUCCGUCUCCUGCAGAGUCACUAGGUCCACUAUGUGCUGCCAGUGUGCUGUU